CUACUAUUGUUUUUUAUUUCUAGAGUGCCACCAUCUCCACAAAUCGUAUUCUCAGCUGAUGGUGAUUUGGGUAUGGCGCCUUAUGGUCUCAAGAAUACGAUUAAGGGUAUUCUACUAUUGGCUUGCAUUUCCCUCGUUUCACGCUCUCCACAAAUCAUAACCUCAGCGGAUGAUUUUUGUAAGGCGGCUUAUGGUGCAGCGACUUCUCUCAAGAAUACGGUUCUGCGUAUUCUACUACUGUUCUGCAUUUCUCUCGUCGUUUCAUUCUCCGCUGGUGGUUUGGGUAUAGCAGCUUAUGGUGCAGCGAUUUCUCUCAUGAAUAUGAUUCGGGGUAUUCUACUAUUGUUUUGCAUUUCUCUCAUUUCACGCUCUCCAGAAAUCAUAAACUCAGCGGAUGAUUUGUGUAAGGCGGCUUAUGGUGCAACAACUUUUCUCAAGAAUAUGAUUCAGCGUAUUCUACAAUGGUUUUGCAUUUUGCUCACUUCCCCCUCUCCACAAAUCUUAAAACCUGCCUACGAUGAGAUGGAUCGCUUGCAGAGAGUUCUGGUAAAAUUGGACGACACCAGCUGCAGCAAGAUCAGGACGAAGGUGAAUGCUUUGGAUGAACGAAUAAAAGAGGCAAUUUGGGAAUUUGAAGAUUUAAUUGAAUCCCAUGUCUUCCCUCAGAUUCUUCAGCAACUCGAAAGCAGAUCGUGUGUUGAGAGAGACAACUUGUCUUUCUCUGUAAAUCUGCAGAGUCUGCAACACCAUGUUGAUCGCUUUGUCGAGAAGAUGAAGAUGAUGGAGGAGGAAUACACUAAUGAAAUAGAGAAUAUGGCUGAAGAAGAAGGUGAGCCUAUUUACUCAAGAAUCGAUUUUGGUGGAAUCAACUCAAAGAUGAUUGGAUUAUCUUAUGAAUUUCAAAGAGCCAGAGAUGAACUUCUUGAACGUAAAAACAUUUCGAUUAUUGGGAUGGCGGGCGUUGGAAAGACAACUCUUGCGAAACAUAUUUUUGAAGAUCCAUCAAUUCAGAGCCAUUUUGAGUUUCGAGCAUGGGUCAAAGUUGGCAGAAAAUGUGAAUCAAAUGAACUAUUACGAUGCAUUCUAGCUCAAGUGGAUCCCAUUUACGCUUACCAAAUGCUUAUCCAAGUAGAUGAUGAUGACGAGGAAGUAGUUGGACUAUUGAAAGACAAAUUGAAGGAUAAGAAAUGUCUCAUCGUGUUGGAUGAUAUAUGGGAGAUACGAGAAGCAAAUCGCUUGACACAUUGCUUGCAAGAAAAUAAUAUUUCUGGAAGGAUUGGAUACUUACUAACAAGUAGACAAGAUAUAAAAUUCCAGGUGCAAUUUUAUAGCAAAUAUUAUAGCAGCAUAAGAGUGCCCUUGUUGAAUGAAGAAGAAAGUAAGGAAUUACUUGGUGAGAAGGUGUUUGGUGAAGAGGGUUUCCCUAUUCAACUUGAGGAAUUGGGAGAGAUGAUUGCGCGGAAAUGUGAAGGUCUUCCUCUUAUGAUAGUCACGGUUGCAGAGCUCCUAUCAAAAGCCGAAAAGACACCUGAAUACUGGACUGAGGUAGCCAACAAACAACACCCCUCACUUUUCGAGGAUGCAUAUAAUCAAAUAUCAGAGAUACUUUUUCCAAGCUAUGACUACUUACUCCAACAUUUAAAAAUGUUUUUCCUCUAUAUGGGAGCAUUCGCUCCAUAUCAUGAUAUCUGCCCAUACAUUUUCAAUAGCCUGUUGAGAUCUGAGGGGUUUCUUGAACUGAUUAGAGAAGAAAGUUAUGAAAAUUUCUUGAAAAAGCUUAUGUGGUAUAAUCUUGUUUCCGUCAGAUCAAAUUCUUUGUCUAUGUUGGGAGAGUAUCACAUGCAUUCUUGCUGGCAGCACUUGUGUAAGGAAGAAGCUAGUAGGAUCAAGUUUUCGCAUGUCUUACAAAGUUGUGAUGAUGUUAUAAGCGACCAACGUCGGUUGUGUGUUCAUUGGAACAGUUUAUUUUGCUUCAAAGAAGUUUGUGAUUCGAUAAAAAGUGAUUGCGCAUCCACUGUCCGUUCUCUCCUUUGUCAUGGUCCUUAUCACCCAUAUCCAAUCCAAAUAAAUGCCAUGGAUUUCAAGUUGCUCAGGGUACUACAUGCUCUUCAUGUCCGAUUUUACCAUAUCCCAAUUGAAAUUUUGAAACUAGUUUGUUUGCAGUACCUUUCCCUAACUUGCAACGGGGACCUCCCUCCUUCCAUAUCCAACCUUUUUCACCUUCAAUUCUUGAUUAUUGAUAGGCAUAUGAGCAUUAAAAAGCGUGGAGUUCAGCCAUAUAUGCCUGAGCAAAUUUGGGAGAUGCAAGAACUAGAGUGUAUUAAUGUCAAGGGAAGGGACCUACCAACCCCUAAUACUGAUGAUGCUACCUUGAACAAACUCGUCACACUGUGGGGUGUGAGUGCAAAUAGUUGUACAAGGGAAGUUCUCAAAAGAAUUCCUAAUUUAAACCAAUUAGGAAUUGAAGUGCAUUUGAAGCCUUAUAAUGAUGAUGAAACCAACCCAAUGAGUUGUUUGAGUUAUAUAUCACAACUCCAGAAUUUGCAAAAACUUACAUAUUGGGUCUACAAUCUGGACAUAAAGUAUGAGUUUAAUACUAUUCCUCUUUCAAUGUUUCCAUCAAGUCUCACAUUGUUACGUUUGGGUGGGUUGGGGUAUCCUUGGGAGUACAUGAAUGACAUUGGUUCGCUGCUGCCAAAUCUCUUGACCCUUUCAUUAGAAAGCUAUGCCUUUCGAGGCUCAGAGUGGGAAAUAUAUCCGGGGAGUUUUUUGAAACUUACUGAACUUCAAAUUGAAGACACCGAUUUGGUGCGAUGGAGACCUCAACUUGGAAGCUUCAUAGUGCUUCGUAGACUAAACAUGAGGCAUUGCUACAAAUUACAACAGCUCGAUUGGAUGAAUGAUCACAUGAUUACUGUUGAAUUAGUCGAGUGCAAUCCUUUAGCUGUCACUUGUGCCAAGGAAUUAGAAGACAAGUUUUUAUUCUUUAAACUUAUUGUCAAAUCUUCUUUUUGAGGUCAAGUGAGUCCGCAACUUGCCUAACAGGCAAAUGAAAGAGCCGAUCGAAGGAUUUUGUCGAUGAUUGUGAAAACUUGAGUGCUGAAUUGUGUUUGUAACCAGAAUUGUUUGAAAGUUGGAUUAGUGUGAAAACAUUAGUCCCUUGUUGAAGGAUUAGUGUGAAAACAUGUUUUACAAGUGAAGGGUACGUCGUCGUUUUGCAGUUCAGGCUAGCUUAUGUUGCUUCUGAAUCCAGAGUUGCUUUCCCUGCAGCAGAUUAUCACAACAUAAAAAUAAUAUAGCAGCGGCGUUGAUGGUGGAGAGGCUCAACCAUUCUCACUCUCGACAGAUACUUGUACUCGCUGUUUUGGGGAGGGAUGGGUCUGCUGCUUUUAGUGUGGCUGAUUGGGAAUAUGCACAACUUUCUGCUUGCUCUGGGAUGCAGGAGGUUCAAGAAGUUUUUUAAGAGGCCGAAAUGUUGAACAAUGGAUGAGCCGUCGUCGCUUACCUAAAGAUCUUCGAAGAUGGAACGAGUAUUAAAAUUCCACGACACAGGCUGCCGAGCAAUAGGCUAGUAACUUGCUUAACAAACGUCGUUAAAAUUUCCAUGUUUCAUCUUUUCCACGAGGGCCUAUAUUUUCUCGUAAGCUUUUCAAGAC
This is an RNA transcript of Salvia miltiorrhiza (redroot sage), 3656 nucleotides long. It is a transcript of the gene named probable cyclic nucleotide-gated ion channel 20, chloroplastic, with no coding region annotated. The record is from RefSeq and is a predicted model, not a curated record. The transcript has 6 exons. NCBI's taxonomy places the organism in Eukaryota, Viridiplantae, Streptophyta, Magnoliopsida, Lamiales, Lamiaceae.